Molecule: long non-coding RNA, 10206 nt
Organism: Mus musculus (house mouse)
Lineage: Eukaryota; Metazoa; Chordata; Mammalia; Rodentia; Muridae
Product: predicted gene, 52357
Exons: 3
Source: RefSeq, a predicted model, not a curated record
UUUUGGCCCCAGCUAGGCUGCCAAGCAGACCCCUCCCCCUGCUCUGGGAAGUCAGGUCCUCCUGGCAAGGUGCCCUUGAGGAAUAUCCUGCAUUACUACCCACACCCACCUCAGCUCGGCCUUUCCCGAGGUCAGAUUUCCCCGGAGCCAAAACAAUGCGAGCAAUCGAAUGCUCACUCACGCACAAAGUUCAGAGAGUGUCUCCCUCAUUGUUGCACAGAGCAGUUUCAUUUCCUGAGGAGCCUGACUUACUGCCCUCUGUUCCCCCCACUGUGCCUGUCUGCCUCCUCUGGCAGCCCAGCUUGCUGCUUGCUGGUCUGUGAGGGCUCUCUCUUCACAGGCAGACCCCUCGGGGCCACCACGCAUGGAGGGACAGGUGGAGGGGACAAGCUGAGGGGUACUACAGGUAUGAAGGAUUCCAGGCAGAGUGCCCCCCAAUCCCUGCCUCAACUCCUUUGCUCCACUCCUGACCUGUGUCUGUGGCUGCAGGAUUCUGAGGAGGGCAGGAGGGCUUGCCUCCAGGGUAAGGACCCACACCCCACACCGUGGCUGGGAAAUGCCAUCAGCCCCUUCCAGAUGAUGCUAGAUCAUUCUAGAGACAUUUCCAACUGUCCCGGGCUGUGAGCACCCAGACUAUUUCAGUUGGUGAAAUCAGGUCAGGCGUGAAGCCUCAUUCUCAGGCAAGGGGAGCCAGCACCUGCUGUGGCUAUGGCCUUGAGAAGCCCUCCACAGGGCUGGAAGUUUUCCUUUCAGCGGAACCAGAGGAGAGAGCUGAGCUGUCUGAAUAUGAUGAUGAUAUAUACUCAGAUACAGUGGCACCUGCCUCCGCUACAGGGAAGACAUAGCUACAGGUAACCAGCCCAGGGCAUAGAGGUCCACAGAGCAGGGGGCAACUGUCUCACUGUCAGUCCAAAGUGGCUAUGACUGUCCUACUGUGUGCAUUCUUAUGGUGCCCUCUCCAUGUUUACCUGGCUCUACCACUUGGCAUCUCACUGGGGUGGGAAUGGUCAGCUACCUGGGUCUGACCACUGUCUGAGGUUGGCAGGAGGAACAGAAGCCUGGCUCUGCUUUCUACUCCUUGAGGUAAACUUUAAAACAGGCCUUCUCAUGAACACGGUGGCAGGCUACCCCUAUCCUGUUCUUCUUUCCAGGUUCCCUUGAAGAAAGGUCUGGGUUGCUGUCUCUUGAAUCAGGGUUCCUCCCUGUUGGACUCUCAUCUUGCUAGGACAGUGGCCAACAGCCUAGAGUCAGGUGUUUACCAGGGACCAGGACAAAUAGGUGAGAGUCAGCCUUCUUGCCAAAUUCACUGAGGGAUGGGGAAUAUGGCCAGUGUGCGUGUGUGUGCACAAGUGUGUGUGUGUGUGUGUGUGUGUGUGUGUGUGUGUGGUCAGUCUAAGGAGCAAGCCAAUUGCAAAAUAAAGGCAAAGUUACCUAAUCGUCUGUGCCUUUGCCUUUUCUUUCUUCCUUCCUUCCUUUUGUCCUUCCUUCCUUCCUUCCUUCCUUCCUUCCUUCCUUCCUUCCUUUCUUUCUUUCUUUCUCUCUCUCUUUAAAAAAAGAUUUAUUUAUUUAUUUAUUUAUUUUCUGUAUGCGAGUACACUAUAGCUGUCUUCAGACACAGCAGAAGAGGGCAUCAGAUCCUAUUACAGAUGGUUGUGAGCCACUGUGUGGUUGCUGGGAAUUGAACUCAGGAACUUCUGAAAGAGCAGUAGGUGCUCUUAACUGUGGAGCUAUCAUCUGUAUGAUAGGAAGCUCAUAUCCAAAGAUACGUAGGCAAUGGAGUGAUGUGAGUCUGAACUGGCCUCCUCUGAAUACAUAAUAACAAUGAUACCCAUUCUCUAAUGUGAGAAACUGAGUCAGGCAGCAGCCAAAUAUGGACAGAGUUCUGUAUGAGGAAUUUUGAGUUGGGUAGGAAGCCAGGUCCUCCCUCAGACCUUACUAGAGCUUUCUCUCAGAGUUCCACCAGCACUGGGUUUUACUCAGUGGCCUGGAUCUCCAACCCCAGGUAGGGAUGCUACCUGGGAAUCUGCUGUUGUGCUAGUUACAAGCCAUGCCUUAGGAGCUACUGGUAACUGAAGGACUUCAGAAAUCCUUUUGCUACAGCCCAAUUGCUGCUGAAACUGUCCCGAAGGUUAGUGGUAAAAAUAGAUGAUUAUACAGGCGUUAUUAAACUAUUUAUAGAGUUUGAGAAAACCCCUCGUAAUGCUCAUGAAAAGAUCUGGCGUAUACUGGGGAUUCCAGAAUGACUCAGUCCUUAGUCCAAACCCACCCGUGACGUUAAACUCUACCGCAAAUGAAGUCUUCAAAAGUCACGCUAACAGUUACAAGGCAUUAUCCCUUGAAGAAGUUCCAAAGGAAGUGUACACAUCUUUGUAGCAAGCCAUAUCCUAGAAUGUUUCCCGGGUGACAGUUAAGCAAUAGGCCUGGGUGAGGCUCAUUCAGAAACAGCUGGGAAGAGGAAAAAGGACACAACGUUUGCAGGCUUGGGGAGGGCCAACAGGCUUGGGAGCUGGGGAUGUUGGUUUGUAUGGCCCGGUCUUCAAAGACACAGCUGGCCAUGCUUGUGCUGGCUCCAUCUGAGCAGACCUCUAAUAAAAUGUGUACGUUUGCACCUACUCAACUGGACAUGGUGAUGUUCUGCUCUGUACAGGCUGGCAGGAUCGGGGUGCACCUAAGGGGGUGCUCAAGCCACCUUGAUGAGUCCUGAGUUCUAAUCUGAAAACCAGAUGCGUGAGGGGCAGUGGGUGAGUAGAAUCAUAAUUCCCGGUUCCCAGGGUUCCAGAGGCUAGAGGGUCUGUAUCAAAGGGCUGCACAUACACCCUAGGCUGAGUUUGAAACAUAAAUACUGGGCUGGAAAGAUGACUCAGUGGUUAAGAGUACCGACUGCUCUUCUGAAGGUCCUGAGUUCAAAUCCCAGGAACCACAUGGUAGCUCACAACCGUCUGUAAUGAGAUCUGACGCCCUCUUCUGGUGCAUCUGAGGACAGCUACAGUGUACUUAGAUAUAAUAAUAAAUAAAUCUUUAAAAAAAGAAAAAAGAAAAAGAAAUACUACUGUGGAAAAAAAGAGGCAUGCAAACCACUGUGUAUCAAAAUACAUACCAUAACGUAAAAGCCAAGCAGGCCUGGAACAGACUCCUCACCUGACUCCCAGUGAACCUAAUCUCCUUGUGUGGAAAGGAAGCUGUUGUGUAAGGUCCCCUGAAGAUUGAAGCAUCUCCCUCUUCAGGGAAACUCAAAACAGGAAGGCAAACUCCAAGGAGCUUCAGGAAGUCCUUGAAAUUGACCAGACUUAGACUCACUAGGCCCUUCUUAGCCAGAGUAAGCAACAAAAGCCAAGAGCCCCGAAGACUCUGAGACCAGGCCAGCUGCCCAGAAGAAGCAGAAACCAGCCAAACUGCCUGGAAGAGGUUAGACCAACACCUGGAGAAGAACCCUCUCCAACCUGCUGAGCUGCCUACAGGCUGUGCACUGCACUCCAGGUUCCCCACUUUGUGAGCUGUCACUCAUGCUGGGGUGGGCUUUGGAGAUACAGCUGUCUUUGAGUCAUUUCUGCCCCUGUAAGUAACUCCGCACCCACAUUCCCUAAAUAACCCCAAUAACGGAUUGCUUCGCUAAGCUGGACAUUGGUGUGUCCAUACUAUGGACUAUGGUGGACUCCCUAUCUAGAGUGAUUAGACGUGCAUGUCCCCAUACAAAGUUCUGUUACACAACUGAAUCAGAUGUGGAGAGAAUGCACAUCUCUUGGCCAGGCAUGGUGGGGAUUGAUGUCGGAUUGGCAGAGAGGCAUUAGACCAGCACACAGUUGUUAAUACUGGAGACUUAGGGUACAGGGCCAGCAAGCCUGAGGGCUACGGUUAGCACUAGUUUCUGCGUGCAUACACUAUCUCCUUGGCUAAACUGUAAAUCACUUGGAUGUCUUCUUCCUCGCUGCCCCUCUCACAUGUCUAGCAGAUCAGAGGCAGGAGAGUGGCGGCCUUCAAGAUAAUCCCUAUGAUGGAUAUACUAAGUGAAUGCCUGGGUAAGUGGACUGGUUUCGGAGCGUUCUAGGGUGCCAGAGCCUUCCUUCCUCCUUUGGCUCCUAGGAAACUGGCUCCAUGUUAUCGUUGGCUAUUCUCUUUUCCUGCCACCACCUCCAUCUUCUCUAAGCAGGGCCUUCACUCUUGUUACAGCCUGCUCUUGCAUGGCACAUGGUAUGACGCUCCAUGCGUGCGUCUGUGUAGGCUCAGUGCCUCCUGCAUGGGACCUGCAAACUCCAGGGAAUCUGACCACUGGUUUGUGUGCCAAUAUCCAUCCUUUAGGUAGGAGAACACAGGCCCUCAGCAAGCACUAAUGCAUUAACUGGAGGAGUAAAUGUCGGAGGCAGGAAGAAUGGCAGGUCCAAGGGAAAGAUGUUUCUGCAUAGGAGGGAGGUAGUUUUCUGGUCCCCUUUCUAUGGGAUAGACUUCUUGCUUAGCUUUGGUAAAAUACCAGAGAAGCAGGAAAAAAACAAAAAAAACAAAAACAAACAAACAAAAAAACCCAAAACUAGUUGAUACUGGCUUUGAGCUAUCAAAGAUUUGGUUUGUAUGCACAUUGGUGUUUUGCCUAUAUGUAUACACAGAUAUAGAUAUAUAUGUGUGAGGGUAUCAGAUUCCCUGAAACUAGAGUUAAAGGCAGUUGUGAGCUGCCACGUGGGUGCUAGGAAUUGCACCAGGUCCUCUAGGAAGAGCAGCCAGUGCUCUUAACUGCUGAGCCAUCUCUCCAGCCCAAGAAAAUGUCUUAAGGGAAACGUAGCUGCUGGGAUGGGAAAUGUAUCCCAUGUUUCUUCAGAGUCUCACUUGCAUUUGUGCACAUGGAAGAGAGGCCCCACUGGGUACCCAUCUGGAGACCCAAGAAGAGAUCAGAAAGGGGUUGCUAUCCUCAUUAAGAGAUGCUUCGGUUGAGAGAUCAGGAAACAUUAUCUUGGGACAUUGUAACUUUUGGGCAAAUUAUUUCCCUCAUUUGGUCUUAGUUUGGUUAUCCAAUAGGAUAAAUCCUAUUGGGCCCAUAAUUUGUUGUGAAGGUUGAAUGGGACCACAGAUACCCAAUCAUAUUGGGAGAAGAGAGAACACUCAGCGAAGCUGGGUGUUCGUGUUUAUGGCCAGAGAUCACACCUUGCUGACUAGGUUACUAAGUCCCAGCUUGGCUUGGCCUUUCAUGACAUGCAUUGCUGACAGACACAGUGAACAGUCAUGUAGUCAUGUGACUCAAUGCUGCCUACUGGUAUCAUUUAUUCUUUCAAGUCCCUGCUUUUGUAACCAGGGUGCCUCCUGGCAGGACACACGCUGAGUGGUGAGAAAGGCCACAUCUGCCUUGAGUCUGUGCAGCUUCGCCUCACAGUGACAUUGCUGAGACUUAAGUCUAGGUUUAUCGCUUUCUGAGGGGAGCUGACCCAGUGCUUUGGAGGCCUCUAUCAGUUUGGUGCCAGUCAAAGCGCCAUUCUCAUCCCCUUUAGCACUGUGUCUGCUGGAGACACAAUGACCCCCGAAGAAAUCCACUGUCUAGAGACAGGCAGCGUUGCAACAGACUAUGACUGUCCCCUUUAAGACUCCUGUUGACACCAACCAAAGAGUACACAUGGCUUCAGCUGCAUAUAUAACAGAGGAUGGCCUUGUCUGGCAUCAAUGGGAGGAGAGGCCCUUGAUCCUGUGAAGGCUCGAUGCCCCAGUGUAGGAGAAUGUCAGGGCAGUGAGGUGGGAGUGAGUGGGUGGGUGUGGGAGCACCCUCAUAGAAGCAGGGGGAGGGGGCAUGGAAUAGGGGUUUUCCGGGGGCGAGAAACUGGGAAAGGGGUUAAUAUUUGAAGUGUAAAUAAAUAAAAUAGCUCCCCUCAAAAAGAACAACAAUAACAGCAACAAAAAAGAUUCCUGUUGAAAUCUGUUUGCAAGUUAAAUUUGAUGUUGGAAGUAGGGUCUUUGAGCAUUGGUUAUUAUGGGCCUGAUGCCUUUUCACAGAGGUGAUAUAAUAGUUUGAAUAAAACGGCCCCCAUAAGCCCAUAGGGAGUGGCAUUAUUAGGAGGUGUGGCCUUGUUGGAGUAGAUGUGAUCUUGUAGGAGGAAGUGUGUCACAGGGGGUGGGAUUUAAGGUCUUAGACAUUCAAGCUUGGCCAGUGAGUCUCUGUCUCUUCCUGCUGCCUGCCGAUCCAGAUGUAGCACUCUCUGCUACUUCCACAGCUCCAUGGCUGCCUGCAUGCCACCAGGCUUCCCGCCAUGAUGAUAAUGGUCUGAACCUCAGAAAUGGUAAGCCAGCCCUAACUAAAUGCUUUCCUUUAUAAGAGUUGCCACUGUCAUGGUGUCUCUGCACGGCAAUAGAAUAAGACAGACGGUGAGGCCAUGUGAGAACUGCCUGUUACAGGGAGUCUACCUCACACUUUCUUUCCUCAUGAGCUCGCUUGCCCUGAAGUCUUCUGUCAUCUAACAAGGUAGCACGAAGCCCCUCAGUAAAGGCCAUUCCCUCCUCUUCGCCUUCCGGCUUCAGAACCGUGAGCUGAAGAAAGAUGUCCAUAAAUGAGUUUGCUUCAUUUUGUUAUAGCAACAGAAAACAGUCAAGGACACACACUCCCACAGCCCUGGUGAGGCCGCCUCUUGGAACACGGUAAGACUCAGAAACACUGGGAAAAUGUUAGGUAUCACACCCAAUAAGGAAACUUUAAUGUAAGGUCCUCCGCAGCGACACGCUGAAACUGUCCUUAGAGACAUGGGGGCUGCAUGUAGCAUGUACUGGCAUGUCCAGUGACUGCACUGUCAGAUCCAACACCCCAGGAUAGGGUGGAGAUUACCUGCCCUACCGGCAACCUAGAGACUGUGACCAUUUUUUCCUCUUCCAUAGAUGGCAGACACAGAACCAUGGCUUUCUGAAAGGCUGGGCUCAGGAUCCGACCGUCUGGGUUUAGGUUGUGAUGUCAGCACUAUGAACACAUCAGCUGUCACGGGUCCAACUGUAUUUUUAAAUGUGAACAGCCUCGCAUGCUUAGCACCACAGACAAUUCAAUUGCCUUUACCAGAUGAUGCUGACAAAUACCUCCCACUCCAGUGUCCUCAGAUAAAAAUAACCGCAACUCCCUCCUAGGCCUGCAGAAGAAGGGGACAGGAAGCUGGAGGGAUGGGUAGUGUCUGGCACCUCCUGGCCCAGCAUGCCCCUAGGGGUGCUGGCUCCGCUGCCCACAGAGGAAGUGCUGUUCCUCCACGUCAUGCCAUGCUGUAACCGUGGGCAGAGGUCUGCUUACUCCUUCCACGUGAAGUUGGCCCUGCCCAACACAGGGCUGACGUCCUUAGUAAGUACCCAAGGACAGUGCAGAGAGCUAGGUAAGCUCUGGCAGGUCACCUGGCCUUGCUGAGGUCCCUCUGCCCAGCAGUUCAUAAGAUGUACCCCACCACUUCUCACAUGAACUCUAAGCAUCCAAUUCCUAUCCUAGAGGGAGAGAGGGCAGCUUCAGAUCCACAAGGGCAGGCCUCACUCCAAGGGGUGAUGCUUCAAUGGAGACCCUCUUGGGCAUCUCUCACCUGGGAAUGCCAUAGCACCCGAGGCCAUGCUGUCAGCCCUCCUCUGCUAGAAAGGCUGUCUCUCCAUGAAGUUACCAGUCAAACUACAGGACACAUAUCCACAACAAGUCAUGCUGGCCCAUCUCAGCCGAUUUGAAACUUGCCUUUUUGUGAGAGAAGCAGGACUCUAUAGACAGGAGGCUCUGCAGGCAAGAAUCCAGAGGUUUUUGACUCCCCUAGGGUAAACCAUUAUAGGAAAUAGUGGUGGCUCUGGGGACACUUUGAUAAGGACACAGUAACUUUCCUCAGGCUGAGCACAUCUGAUGCAAACUGUCAUGCAGGACCCUAAGCCACACUUCUCACUAAGAUAAAACCACUAGCUCCCAAGACCCCUUAUAUAUCCACAAUCUUGGGGCUUUCAGGGAGUACUAUCGCCUAUUCCAGAAACUGAGAGUGUGAAUUGGCGUCUGCUCUGAGUUUUCCCCAGGGAUGGCUUGGGUGGCUAUGAGGUACACACAUUGGAGUGUCUGGGCAUAGAUAUUAGGUGCCAUCAGAUAGUCAGGUGGCCUCUGCCUUCUGUUCAUGCAGAUUAGCUUUCUGCUGUAAUGGUCUCAGCCAACUUCCUCUUCCACAGACUCCUGUUGAUCUAAAAUCAUAUUUUAGAUAUGAAAUAUUUUGCCUUUUUUGACACUAGUCUGUCAUGGUUGUUUUCCUGACAAUCUACAGUACCGAUGACUUAUACCAUAGGUACCAUGAUACCUGAUGGAGGGCUACGGACACCAGAUGGCUUGGCCUUUCCAAGAUGGGGCUCGAGCUCAUGUUGGGGGGGGUGUGGAUUUCCAUUUCCUACAAACAUUCAACUCUUACACACACAAAAAUUAGGGUUUCUCUUAAAAGUCUGAAAUACUACCUCACAUGGAAUUCUCCAUUGUCAAAGAGGAAGGUACCUGUCCUCAAGGGCAGAACCUGAUUGGGGGAUCCAGAAGACAGCAGUUUUGUUACAACUUUCCAAGUCAACCCAUGUCUCAAAAGCCACAAGUUAUCAAGACCCCUGGACACUUGGAGAAAUCAAGUUGGGUAGAAGGUUAGACAUUCAGCAGAGUCGAGGGGACUCUGAGGGGGCCUUGGUACCAGAGAAUGUCAGUCAUGUGUCCCGGUGAACUUCCCAUGAAGAAGCAUGUCAUGGUCUCUUCUGCAAAAACUAACUUUGCCACGGGGGACCAAAAUAGUGGGCCAGAAUGGGCUUCCAGACCAUGGCUCACUCUUAAAGUGACAGUAACAUCCACUGAUGCAGGGAGUGAAGGGAAGACUAACCACUUAGGAUUUCCACGUGGUUACCAAUGCCCUCCCAGAACCAGAGCCAGCUCAUCUGGAGGACAGGUAGUGCUACAAGCAUCAUCUGUCCACUCAUCUACACCCUGCCCCACCUGCCUUGGGUCUCUCCUUCUGUGGACACUGGUGGGUCUGUCUGGUGCUCCUCUGUCAGAUGCUGGUUCUAAUGCAGUAUGUACAAGGAGCCCAGGGGGAAUGAACGUCCUAAGCUGUGCCCCGAGGUCUGCUGAACAAUCGGGGAAAACCUACAGCGUUUUGACAUACUUGGGUCUGACAGGCAUCUCCAGAAAGCAUCUGUUUCAAUCCUACCUGCUUUCAAUCAGCUUAGGUGCUCUGUGAGGCUGCCCUAGUUUUAAAUCUAUUCUGGGACGAGCAUCCCUAAACUUCCCUCCGCAUCCCUAACGUCCCUAUAUGCACCAUGUCAAGAGGUUGACUACAGAGAGGCCCAUCAGCCUGCUUAUCCAGAGCCGCCUGUCAAAGCACAUCUUCUCCUGGCCUCACAGUCCCUCCUCUACCCUGGGGAGGCACCGGAGGCCUGGCUUGUCAGAUGCAGGCUUGGGCGAGGGUCCUAACUUUUCAUUCGUGUCUCUUAGCUCAGCUUUUGUCCUUCCAUCUUGACUGUGCUAGACCUACACUGUCCUUGUCUGGGGUGACUCAGCCUCACUCAGGACUCACCCUGUCUCAGCUCUGUACCUAGCUUAGAGGGAACAGAUCUGCUAAGGGAGUGGAAAUGGGAUAAAUGAGGUAGCAAGACCCCACGGUAUCCUCUUGGGGCCUGGAAGACAUUCUUUGGGCCAUUAAUCGGUAGGUCCAAAGGAUCCCAAAGAAGUCUGGGUUUCCUCUCUCUUCUAGAGAGGCAGUGAUAUGGCACAAAAUCUGUUGCAGAGCAGGGAAGACGGUAGCAGGGGUAGAAGGGACCCCAAUUGUACUCAAGUGUUGAUCUCUCACUGCCGGUACUAAGUGCUCUUGGGCGGCUGGGAGUUCCUCUCGGGAUCCUGUCUGUAAGCUGAACUAAGUAGUACAGUACGUCAGACAUCUUCCAUAUGCUUAACCAUCUCUCUAGAAACACACGGAACGGUGAAUAGGUGGAAUUAAACCAGGAAUUUGGGCCAUUUUUGAGCAACUCCAUCUUCCUUUUGUAUUUGUGCAGUGACCUCAAAGAAGUAUCUGGAAGCCAUUUAUGUGUGUGUGUUUGGGGGGUGGGGGUGGGGGAGUCAAUGAAGGUGAACUUCAACUUGGCUAUUUAUUAAAAAGUCCACUGGAGCCCAUGACCACCCAACAUACUAUCUCCUACCUGGGCACCUUCAUUCUUUGGUAUUCCUAUAGUUGUCCAAACCUUAAGAUAUCCAAAUCCUUUAUAUAAAACGGUACUGUGUUUAUG